AUCCGUAUAGCGAUCAGUCUAUGGAAAAAUUCUAAAAUGCAAUGGGUAUAUUAGUGACGUGGCGUAACAAACCAAUCAAAUUAAUCCUUUUAAGAAUAUAUGUCCCAUCAUGAUUGUAAAAAAAUAUUUUUAUUGUACUUUUGUUUGAAAAGAAGAAAUGUGAUUAGCAUGUUAUUGAUGAUGUGGUGCAAGUGUGACAGCGUAGAAUUCGUCCCGUCUAUGG
Molecule: long non-coding RNA, 223 nt
Filed under: Ananas comosus (pineapple)
Lineage: Eukaryota; Viridiplantae; Streptophyta; Magnoliopsida; Poales; Bromeliaceae
Description: long non-coding RNA (ACOM_LNC012762)
Source: RNAcentral